Molecule: ribosomal RNA, 253 nt
Filed under: uncultured bacterium
Lineage: Bacteria
Description: partial 16S ribosomal RNA
Rfam family: Bacterial small subunit ribosomal RNA
Source: RNAcentral
UACGUAGGUGGCAAGCGUUGUCCGGAUUUACUGGGCGUAAAGAGCGCGCAGGCGGUCAGAUAAGUCGAAUGUGAAAGCCCCCGGCUCAACUGGGGAGGGUCAUUCGAUACUGUUCGACUCGAAGGCAGGAGAGGGGAGUGGAAUUCCCGGUGUAGUGGUGAAAUGCGUAGAUAUCGGGAGGAACACCAGUGGCGAAGGCGACUUCCUGGCCUGUUCUUGACGCUGAGGCGCGAAAGCUAGGGGAGCAAACGGG